Molecule: ribosomal RNA, 468 nt
Filed under: uncultured bacterium
Lineage: Bacteria
Description: partial 16S ribosomal RNA
Rfam family: Bacterial small subunit ribosomal RNA
Source: RNAcentral
GACGAACGCUGGCGGCGUGCUUAACACAUGCAAGUCGAACGGAAAGGCCCUGCUUUUGUGGGGUGCUCGAGUGGCGAACGGGUGAGUAACACGUGAGUAACCUGCCCUUGACUUUGGGAUAACUUCAGGAAACUGGGGCUAAUACCGGAUAGGAGCUCCUGCUGCAUGGUGGGGGUUGGAAAGUUUCGGCGGUUGGGGAUGGACUCGCGGCUUAUCAGCUUGUUGGUGGGGUAGUGGCUUACCAAGGCUUUGACGGGUAGCCGGCCUGAGAGGGUGACCGGCCACAUUGGGACUGAGAUACGGCCCAGACUCCUACGGGAGGCAGCAGUGGGGGAUAUUGCACAAUGGGCGGAAGCCUGAUGCAGCAACGCCGCGUGCGGGAUGACGGCCUUCGGGGUGUAAACCGCUUUCGCCUGUGACGAAGCGUGAGUGACGGUAAUGGGUAAAGAAGCACCGGCUAACUACGUG